GAUGAAGAACGUAGCGAAUUGCGAUAAGUAAUGUGAAUUGCAGAAUUCAGUGAAUCAUCGAAUCUUUGAACGCACAUUGCGCCCGCCAGCAUUCUGGCGGGCAUGCCUGUUCGAGCGUCAUUUCAACCCUCGACAUCCCCUUGGGGAAGUCGGCGUUGGGGACCGGCAGCACACCGCCGGCCCCGAAAUUGAGUGGCGGCCCGUCCGCGGCGACCUCUGCGUAGUAAUCCAACCUCGCACCGGAACCCCGACGUGGCCACGCCGUAAAACACCCAACUUUCUGAACGUUGACCUCGGAUCAGGUAGGAAUACCCGCUGAACUUAAGCAUAUCAAUAAGCGGAGGA
Molecule: unclassified non-coding RNA, 345 nt
Filed under: soil metagenome
Description: partial contains 5.8S ribosomal RNA, internal transcribed spacer 2, and large subunit ribosomal RNA
Rfam family: 5.8S ribosomal RNA (bases 1-120)
Source: RNAcentral